This 757-nucleotide ribosomal RNA is filed under the name Enterobacteriaceae bacterium enrichment culture. Its description in RNAcentral is "bacterial SSU rRNA". It matches the Rfam family "Bacterial small subunit ribosomal RNA", at positions 28 to 774 of the family's 1533-position model. Lineage: Bacteria; Pseudomonadati; Pseudomonadota; Gammaproteobacteria; Enterobacterales; Enterobacteriaceae. The record is from RNAcentral.
AUUGAACGCUGGCGGCAGGCCUAACACAUGCAAGUCGAACGGUAACAGGAAGCAGCUUGCUGCUUUGCUGACGAGUGGCGGACGGGUGAGUAAUGUCUGGGAAACUGCCUGAUGGAGGGGGAUAACUACUGGAAACGGUAGCUAAUACCGCAUAACGUCGCAAGACCAAAGAGGGGGACCUUCGGGCCUCUUGCCAUCGGAUGUGCCCAGAUGGGAUUAGCUAGUAGGUGGGGUAACGGCUCACCUAGGCGACGAUCCCUAGCUGGUCUGAGAGGAUGACCAGCUACACUGGAACUGAGACACGGUCCAGACUCCUACGGGAGGCAGCAGUGGGGAAUAUUGCACAAUGGGCGCAAGCCUGAUGCAGCCAUGCCGCGUGUAUGAAGAAGGCCUUCGGGUUGUAAAGUACUUUCAGCGGGGAGGAAGGCGAUAAGGUUAAUAACCUUGUCGAUUGACGUUACCCGCAGAAGAAGCACCGGCUAACUCCGUGCCAGCAGCCGCGGUAAUACGGAGGGUGCAAGCGUUAAUCGGAAUUACUGGGCGUAAAGCGCACGCAGGCGGUCUGUCAAGUCGGAUGUGAAAUCCCCGGGCUCAACCUGGGAACUGCAUUCGAAACUGGCAGGCUAGAGUCUUGUAGAGGGGGGUAGAAUUCCAGGUGUAGCGGUGAAAUGCGUAGAGAUCUGGAGGAAUACCGGUGGCGAAGGCGGCCCCCUGGACAAAGACUGACGCUCAGGUGCGAAAGCGUGGGGAGCAAACA